GACAGAGGGUGCAAACGUUGUUCGGAAUUACUGGGCGUAAAGCGUGCGCAGGCGGCCUUGCAAGUCGGGCGUGAAAUCCCACGGCUCAACCGUGGAACUGCUCGGUAUACUGGCGAUCUUGAGCCACUUAGGGGCUACCGGAACAAAUGGUGGAGCGGUGAAAUGCGUAGAUAUCAUUUGGAACGCCAAUGGUGAAAACAGGUAGCUGGGAGUGUGCUGACACUGAGACACGAAAGCCAGGGGAGCGAACGGG
Molecule: ribosomal RNA, 253 nt
Filed under: uncultured bacterium
Lineage: Bacteria
Description: partial 16S ribosomal RNA
Rfam family: Bacterial small subunit ribosomal RNA
Source: RNAcentral